UCUCUGUUAGUAUAUCGGUUAGUACACGCGCCUGUCAUGCGUGGAUGUAUUUCCUACCAGGUCCGCGCGAAAGGGGGGUUCGACUCCCCGACAGAGAG
This 98-nucleotide transfer RNA is filed under the name Polyporus arcularius HHB13444. RNAcentral describes it as "tRNA-Asp". Lineage: Eukaryota; Fungi; Basidiomycota; Agaricomycetes; Polyporales; Polyporaceae. The record is from RNAcentral.